This 219-nucleotide unclassified non-coding RNA is filed under the name uncultured Tomentella. Its description in RNAcentral is "sequence contains ITS2". Lineage: Eukaryota; Fungi; Basidiomycota; Agaricomycetes; Thelephorales; Thelephoraceae. The record is from RNAcentral.
ACAUCUCAACUCUCAUGCUUUGCCGUGAUGAGCUUGGACUUUUGGGGGGUUUUGCUGGCCUACAGUCAGCUCCUCUGAAACGGAUCAGCUUGCCAGUAUUUGGUGGCGUCACAGGUGUGAUAACUAUCUACGCUUGUGAUUGUUUGCCGAGUAACCUUUGGUGACGAAGGUUUGCUGGAGCUUACAAAUGUCUCUCCUCAGCGAAGACAGCUUUUGACC